This 65-nucleotide transfer RNA is filed under the name Quadraceps punctatus. Its description in RNAcentral is "tRNA-Trp". Lineage: Eukaryota; Metazoa; Arthropoda; Insecta; Psocodea; Philopteridae. The record is from RNAcentral.
AAAGUAGUAGGUUAAUCGAAACCGUCACUGUUCAAUAGUGGAGCUAAACGUAUGUUUCUACUUUU